Molecule: long non-coding RNA, 225 nt
Filed under: Setaria italica (foxtail millet)
Lineage: Eukaryota; Viridiplantae; Streptophyta; Magnoliopsida; Poales; Poaceae
Description: long non-coding RNA (SITA_LNC001922)
Source: RNAcentral
AGCCAGCAACCUUGGAUUUCCCCACCUGCCUCGCAGAGUUCCAGUGCCAGCCUUGACGGCUAACAGAGAGGAACGAGCAAAACACCAGACCUGCAGCUACCUACUGGGCCGAUUCAGUAGAUGAGAUGGGCCUCGCACCAAUAAAAGGCCCGUAGAGUUUCGGAUGUAGCUAUUCGUUCCCACUUUUUUCCCCUCAAAAUAAUAAUAAUAAAAAAGCUAUUCGUU